Molecule: non-coding RNA, 28 nt
Filed under: Rattus norvegicus (Norway rat)
Lineage: Eukaryota; Metazoa; Chordata; Mammalia; Rodentia; Muridae
Source: RNAcentral
UGAAAUGGUGUUCUUUUGGUCAAGGAGU